RNAcentral lists this ribosomal RNA (1067 nucleotides) under Triticum aestivum (bread wheat). RNAcentral describes it as "partial small subunit ribosomal RNA". The record is from RNAcentral. Lineage: Eukaryota; Viridiplantae; Streptophyta; Magnoliopsida; Poales; Poaceae.
AAUCUUAGACACCUGUGGUAUACCUGACGUUUUUUAUUACUCCUUAAGGUUCUGUAAGACUCUGAAGGACUCUACGUGUUUAUUUAGAGUCCCGUCCACGAACGGUGAACAGUGUUCAAGAAGUCUCACGACGGCGAAUUGAGAAAGAAGAGGUUAGGAAAGAGUUCACCUUUGUAAUGUCAUAACGGUUUUCGUUUCUACCCGCGUCGUCUCAGUAGAAGGUUCGAACCACCGAGGCAGGUACUGAAGCAACAAUUCCUACACUCUCCUUUACUACACCUCGAGUCGUCUAUGUUCCCCUUUCAGGACGAAUAACACUUACAGCGUAGAGCUACACCAGACCGUUUAAGGUUGAUGUGCCUCGACCCGGUUGAGAUACUCUUUAUGUCCCUCUUUCCUAACCUCUAUAACCGCAAGGGAACGUUAGUCAAACGGCCCGUCCUUGGUCUAUCACUACUCUUCUAACACCUCAAACGAACGUUAGCGAAGGUUCGUCUCAAAGGAUAAAAAGCGUUCCAGCUGCACUUACCGUUGUUACGACGGGACGACAUGUUCAAGAACUUUAGUCUCUCUCCGCCAGAUAAACCUCUCGCAUAGUUUACCUUGAAGUGGUUCAAAGAUCAACUGUUUCUCCCCGUGCAGUACUUGGCUAUGCGUGGCUGGACCAGGGGUGAGCCGUAACUCUUACUGUAGUUCUUCGACAACCUCCAAACUCCAUAGAGGUCCCUUCUAGUACGCCGCCGCACAGUACACAUACACAGUAAACAAGAAAAGCGAUGACAUACACACACAUGUGAACGAGAUAGUUCUCAUUGGGGUCAGACAACAUACGAUGAGACAAAAGAUGUGCCACUUUAUUAAAGGGGUUUUAAUGUUUGUUUUAUAUAACUACGUUGUUUUGUGUCGGACCUCUCAUUAGAGAUUCUUACUAGAGUUUUUGGCUUACCCGAUAAAGUUUCAUAUGUAAACCAUAAGAAAAACCCUUGUCUUUUUAGAGAGCUCUCUACCUUCACAGCUGUUUAUACUCGAUAGGAGAUCUUCUCAACUAUAGUUACGACCUUGAAGAG